Molecule: ribosomal RNA, 374 nt
Filed under: uncultured bacterium
Lineage: Bacteria
Description: bacterial SSU rRNA
Rfam family: Bacterial small subunit ribosomal RNA
Source: RNAcentral
AUUGAACGCUGGCGGAAUGCUUUACACAUGCAAGUCGAACGGCAGCACGGGGGCAACCCUGGUGGCGAGUGGCGAACGGGUGAGUAACACAUCGGAACGUGCCCAGUCGUGGGGGAUAACGUAGCGAAAGCUACGCUAAUACCGCAUACGAUCUACGGAUGAAAGCGGGGGAUCGCAAGACCUCGCGCGAUUGGAGCGGCCGAUGGCAGAUUAGCUAGUUGGUGGGGUAAAGGCUUACCAAGGCGACGAUCCGUAGCUGGUCUGAGAGGAUGAUCAGCCACACUGGGACUGAGACACGGCCCAGACUCCUACGGGAGGCAGCAGUGGGGAAUUUUGGACAAUGGGGGCAACCCUGAUCCAGCCAUGCCGCGUGC